This 512-nucleotide ribosomal RNA is filed under the name Aeshna juncea. Its description in RNAcentral is "partial 16S rRNA". It matches the Rfam family "Bacterial large subunit ribosomal RNA", at positions 1830 to 2597 of the family's 2925-position model. Lineage: Eukaryota; Metazoa; Arthropoda; Insecta; Odonata; Aeshnidae. The record is from RNAcentral.
GUCUUCUUGUUAUAUUUAGGAAGUCUGGCCUGCCCAGUGAAAAUAAUUUAACGGCCGCGGUAUACUGACCGUGCAAAGGUAGCAUAAUCAUUAGUCUUUUAAUAGAGGGCUGGUAUGAAGGGUUUAACGAGGUGUUGACUGUCUCAUUUAAUUUGAAUUUAGAAUUUAAUUUUUUAGUUAAAAAGCUAAAAUAUUAUUGGAAGACGAGAAGACCCUAUAGAGCUUUAUACUUUUACUAUUGAUUUAUUAUAGAUUAUUAUUAUUUAUUAUUAGUAGAAAGUAUUUUGUUGGGGUGACAAAAAUAUAUGAAUAACUUUUUUAUUUUAUUUACAUUGAUAUAUGAAUAUUAGAUCCAAUCUUAUUGAUUGUUAGAUUAAGUUACCUUAGGGAUAACAGCGUAAUCCCUCUCCAGAGUUCAUAUUUACAGAGGGGCUUGCGACCUCGAUGUUGGAUUAAGAUAAUAAUUAGGUGCAGCCGCUUAAUUAAUAGGUCUGUUCGACCUUUAAAUUCUU